UGUGAACUCCGUUAUUCCUUUCUUGAAAUGCAUCAACCAGAACUGCACAUUCUUUUCAAAGUACCUCCUUUCUGCUGGGCUGAGCUGCGUCAUUACCAGAGUCCCUGAGAAUGCUUAUUGUCCAUGGGAGUAAUUUCACAUCCUACCCAUUUAGCGAAAAGAUGUGAAAAUUGAUCUCCGGUUCUGCAGUGAGAUUGGAAUCAGAGCGCAGGCUACAAAUGCCUUGGAAGCUUGGCUCUCCAAGCCAG
Neomonachus schauinslandi (Hawaiian monk seal) is the source of this 248-nucleotide long non-coding RNA. RefSeq lists it as uncharacterized. The transcript has 3 exons. The record is from RefSeq and is a predicted model, not a curated record. NCBI's taxonomy places the organism in Eukaryota, Metazoa, Chordata, Mammalia, Carnivora, Phocidae.